RNAcentral lists this ribosomal RNA (709 nucleotides) under Linnemannia elongata. RNAcentral describes it as "eukaryotic LSU rRNA". It matches the Rfam family "Eukaryotic large subunit ribosomal RNA", at positions 92 to 658 of the family's 3401-position model. The record is from RNAcentral. Lineage: Eukaryota; Fungi; Mortierellomycota; Mortierellomycetes; Mortierellales; Mortierellaceae.
AGUGAGCGGGAUGAGCUCAAAUUUAAAAUCUGGCUGGUUUACUAGUCCGAAUUGUAGUUUAUAGAAGCGUUUUCGGUGGCAGCCUGGGUAUAAAUCCUUUGGAAUAGGGUAUCAUAGAGGGUGAGAAUCCCGUCUUUGACUCAGUGCAUGCUACUAUGUGAUACGUUUUCAAAGAGUCGAGUUGUUUGGGAAUGCAGCUCAAAAUGGGUGGUAAAUUUCAUCUAAAGCUAAAUAUUGGCGAGAGACCGAUAGCGAACAAGUACCGUGAGGGAAAGAUGAAAAGAACUUUGAAAAGAGAGUUAAACAGUGCGUGAAAUUGUUGAAAGGGAAACGUUUGACACCAGUUAUGCGGGUGGAAAAUCAGUCUUUUGCAAUGGGGAGUUGUGGGCGUUCAGACCGCAAGGCUGGCGUUUGCUUCAUCUUUGUUGUAAGUGAUGCACUUUUUCAUUUGCAGGUCAACAUCAGUUUGCUUUGCUGGACAAAACCCCAAGGGAAGGUGGCAGCUUAGGCUGUGUUAUAGCCCUGGGGCGAUACAGUGGAGUGGACUGAGGUUUCGCAGUGUGUGCUCUCGGGCAAGGCUGACUGGGUGCUAUGGGAUCGUUCGGCGUACAAUGCAUGCAUUUUGCGUCGUGUCUUUUUUAUACUCGCUCAACUCGGCUCUUCCACACUUAGGAUGUUGACUUAAUGGUUUUAAACGACCCGUCUUGAA